CCUCUCUCUGGGACCGUUUCAAGUGGGACUUCCCACUAAGUAUUUCAGCAGGAAACGUAGUGAACGAGAGGCAAGUUCAUUCUUUAUCCUGACAACAUGUGUACUGGAAAAUGUUCCCGUUGCAUUGCUGUUACUCUGUACCCAUUAGCACUCAUAUCCAUCAUCUGUAACAUAGUGCUGUUCUUUCCUGGUGGGGAAAUCAAGUACGCCAAAGAUGGACAUAUUACUGAGGAGGUGAAAUACAUGGGAGGACUCAUUGGAGGGGGGUUGAUGGUGUUGCUGCCAGCACUUUAUAUCCACAUGACUGGAGAGAAGGGCUGCUGUGGGAAUCGCUGCGGGAUGUUCUUAUCAAUUGCAUUCGCUGCAGUGGGUGUGGCUGGUGCCUUGUACAGCUUAAUUGUGGCAGUGCUCGGUUUGCAUAACGGGCCCCUCUGCAAAAAUGUACUGAUCUGGACUACACCUUUUAAGAACAGUGACCCAAGUUACCUGACUGACAGUUCAGGAUGGUGGAAAUGCACAGAGCCUAGUAACAUUGUGCACUUUAACAUUGGGUUGUUUGGUACUCUGCUGGCCACAAGCUGCCUGCAGGUGGUUCUCUGUGGCAUUCAGAUGAUCAACGGCCUUUUUGGCUGCCUGUGUGGAACCUGCACCGAAAAAGGGCCACUGUAAGUUCCUGAUCAGGAAGCUUCUCAUCAUCUGCACUAAUCUGAGUUUUCUGGCGCCCCCUGCUGGAAGGCUAACAGUACUGCUGCAUCUGCAUUAAAUAUAUUCAAUGUUGGGGGUUUUUGCAACAGAUUUUUAUAUUUCUGUCUACUUUUUGAUGCUUCAUACUUAAUGAACAAACAGAAAUCCGAAAUGUUUUGAAAUGUAUUAAGUUGUGUUGUGAAGAUGACACAGUAUUAAUGGUAAUUCACAUUAUAAUUCAUGGUAUAAUUUAAUUAAACUUAUAUAUUGCUACAGUUUGGUGUUACAUUUCAUUAUGUCUAGCAUAACAAUGAUACAUGUUACCUUCUGACUUGUUGUGUUUCAAUAAAAUAGAUAAAGAAGUCAAAUAAAAUACAGGGCAAGAUCCUACUGACAAUGACA
RNA transcript from Scomber japonicus (chub mackerel), 1086 nucleotides. It is a transcript of the gene named transmembrane 4 L six family member 21a, with no coding region annotated. The record is from RefSeq and is a predicted model, not a curated record. The transcript is spliced from 6 exons. Lineage: Eukaryota; Metazoa; Chordata; Actinopteri; Scombriformes; Scombridae.